Molecule: non-coding RNA, 167 nt
Filed under: uncultured Prevotella sp.
Lineage: Bacteria; Pseudomonadati; Bacteroidota; Bacteroidia; Bacteroidales; Prevotellaceae
Source: RNAcentral
CGCCGCGAGACGGAAUCUGAAGGCAGCCUUAGGCAAACGUCUGGUCUGACGUACAGAAACUUGAUACAAGGCUUAUGUGUCAUGGGUAAGGUUACGCAACAAACUAAAGCCCUAUACUGUCCGAAAUGGCACGGAGUAAAUCAAGCAGACAUAAGGCGGAAAGAAUG